GCCGUCGUCUAAGGUGAUUUCCGACCGGCCCCUGUGGUUUCCAGGAGCCAAGGCCCCGGAAUGGCUGGACGGAAGCUUGGUAGGGGACUAUGGAUUUGAUCCAUUUGGGUUGGGGAAACCGGCCGAGUAUUUGCAGUAUGAUUUGGACUCGUUGGAUCAAAAUUUGGCCAAGAAUGUGGCCGGAGAUAUAAUUGGGACAAGAUUUGAGAGCGCGGAAGUGAAAUCGACGCCGUUUCAGCCGUACACGGAGGUAUUUGGAUUGCAGAGAUUCCGUGAGUGUGAGCUUAUUCAUGGACGGUGGGCAAUGCUGGCUACACUCGGUGCUCUCUCUGUUGAAUGGCUCACCGGUGUUACUUGGCAAGACGCCGGAAAAGUGAGUAUAUUUUCGUCACUGAUUUCCUUUUAUUUAUUUAUUUAUUUAUAUACCGACAGUCUUGCAUUAUAUUUAGUCGUGGGCUGUUCAUUUGAUUUAAAGAAAUAAUUUGAUAUUCUUUUUGUUGACUAUGAACUAAAAAUUUCAUAAUACACAACAAUGACAUCGUUACCUAUUGAAAGUUUUAAGUUCAAAUGUAAAGAUCUAUUAAAUACGUUCCCAAGUUCAUAAGAUCUAAUAUCAUAUACAUACUUUGAACGAUUAAUGAUGAGUUGAUCAUGUACUAAUCAUUUCAGGUAGAAUUAGUGGAAGGUUCAUCGUACCUAGGCCAACCACUUCCCUUCUCCAUCACUACACUAAUCUGGAUCGAAGUUCUAGUGAUCGGUUACAUUGAGUUCCAAAGGAAUGCGGAGCUGGACCCGGAGAAAAGGUUGUACCCAGGAGGCAAGUUUUUCGACCCUCUGGGGUUGGCUGAGGACCCAGAAAAGAAAGCAGUGCUACAAUUGGCUGAGAUCAAGCAUGCUCGCCUAGCCAUGGUUGCGUUCCUUGGGUUUGCGGUUCAAGCUGCUGUGACUGGCAAAGGUCCACUCAACAACUGGGCUACCCAUCUCAGUGACCCUCUCCACACCACUAUUAUUGACAACUUCUCUUCUUAAGGCUCCUCUUAAUUGUCUCCUCCAUUACUCGUCUUCUUCAUUAUUGUCUCUUUCCAGUUUGUAUAAAACUUGACUGAGUUAUGUGAUCCUGAGCUGUAAGUAGUACUUUGCUUCGCGAUUCCUAUGUUAAAUUAUAUUAUAUAUGGUGUUACGACACAAAUCAAAAACCGUUCUUUAUUUCAUUCCGAUUGGUUUUGAAUCAUUCUUGAGGUGAUUUUAUAUUGCCUAAAAUUUUGUGGUUUCAAUUGGGGAAGAUGAAUUGGAAAAUAAAGUUAUGGUACAAUCAAAGUUUUUAAUGGUCAUCGAAGUCUUCAAAGAUGACUAUUUUGAUGUAUAUCUUUUCAGUAAAAAAAAACUCAUAUCAUAUCAUCUAUAGAGAACUUGACAUUUAUUUUAUUUUCAAUUGCAUGAAAGUGGCCUUUAAGUCAGAUUCAAAUCGAAAAUGACUAAAUAAUAUAUUUGAAUCUUAGAAUAAAAUGUCUCUAGAACCAAGAUUUUUAGAAUAACUUUAAAUAGAAAAGUAUUCAUAGAUUUAAGAGAUAUUUCUUAUAAACAAAUAUUCGACCAUGAAUUAAAAAUACCUAUUAUUAAUAGGAUGAAAUGCAAACACACAAACAUAAUUGUAAUCAACUCUUUCAACUUAAACUUAUUAUAGUCGUAAAAAUUAAAACAUUGAUCGAUUUUUAUAUUGAAAUGUUUGAAGGCAUAGAGUAGUUACAAGUGAUUCUUAUAUUUCGAUCGUAAAUUAUGUUUUGGUUAAUAUAUUAUUAUUUUUUAUUCAAAUUUUUACGAUAUAAUAAAAAUUUAGAUUCUAUCUCUUUUGUUCAAAUUUAUAGAUUUGUGAAAAUACCGAACUAAAUGCAUAUUCUUUGAAUGAUAAAUACAAGUUAAAACUAUUUUCUAACUAUUAUUGGAUGUUAUCUGUUAUAUGGAUAGAUUUUGAUAUGAUAGCCUAAUCAAUUUUAUAGCAAAAUUGAAGAUAAAAAAAUUGGGUCAACUAGGAAGAAUACAAAUUUUAAGGUUGUGAUUUUGAAAAAUAGCAAAACCGCUCCCUCUUUCAAAAAUGAAAAAAAAAAACAAUAAAUAAGUAUUUACAAAAAUCCAAAAUAUCCCUAUACACAUGGACUGUAAGCUACUUUCUUGAAGUUUUAGUUUCAUCUUUAGCUUCAUCAUGCAUUUUCAAGAAGAAUAAUAUAAACAUUUAAAACACACAAAUACUAUCUUCAUUUUCCAUCUUCCAUCUUUAAUUUUUAAAUCUAUGACCUGCAAUCAAAUGCUUGGGGUGGAAGAACAAAUAUACAAAAUAAUUAUCGGAAAAUUUUAGUUUAUUUUUAAAAGUUAUUUAUUUAAUUAAAUUAAUAAAAUGUAUAUGAAAUUUGUGAGAUUUUAUCUAAAAAUACACUAUUUUAGUCUAUUUUGUUGAAAACAAGUCAAAAUUUAAAAAUAAAUUAAGAUCUUACUGCCAAAACUAUUUAAUUUCCAAAUUAUUUAGGAUUUCAACCAAUUAAGAUUAUUUUAAAAUUUAAAUUAAAGUUGAGAUUUAGACAACAAAAAAAAUUAAUUAUGUGGUUAUUUUGAAAUAAAAAAAAUUAGAAAGAAUUUGUUAGGAGUAGGAAAUAUACAUUUUAACGCAUCAAAAUUAAUUAUGACUUAUAAUAUGCAUAUCACCACUUCAUUACACUGGACGCAUAUGUUAAAAUAAUUAUAGUUUUGCAAAUGUGAAUAUUGUAUAAAAUACCAUGUGUGACACUUCCAAAAUUAUGUUAGUUGGUACGUUAUUUCUUCAAUCAGAUGAACAUUCAAAUUAGACAUUAACCUUGAUAGGAUUUGUAAUUGAAUUAAUGUUAUUGAACUUUCUAACUCAUUUAUUCUAUAUUUUGAAAGUAAGUUAAUUUAAAUUUAAUAAGGAACAUUGAAAAAACAAUUAAAUUAAAAAGAUUUUGAAAUAAUAAAAUCAAUAGUGAGAUUUACUCAAAUUCAAAAUAAUAAUUGGGUUGUUUUUGAGAUUGGAAUUAAUUUGUAAGGUAUGGUAGAAUAAAACAUGGAUGGUAUAUAUUUAGAAAAUAGGAAAAGUUCCAUAAGCCACCCUAUGCCUAAGGCUAGAAGUUUAAUUACUUUCACACCCCAUGAACUAUAUGCAUUAUGCAAAUUUGUUAGAGAAUUGUUUUUCAAAUCUCUUUAUAAAAUAUUAAAAACAAAACUGACAUUUCAAUCUCGAUUUUAUUACUUCUGCACGCGUUUUCGAAUCUAUAAAUACUCAGCAUCGUUUCGAAUUUUAUGUAUUUUCCUUUGGGUUUAUUGUUCAAUUUCAUCUCCCACUGACGGCGACGAUCAUUCCAUUCUCAUUCCGCUUCCUCUAUUUCCUCAGUUUCAGCCUUCCCUGAAUUCCCAUUCUGAGGUUCGAUCACGCCGAUCUUUGCAUUGUUGUUGUUCUUGUUGUUAUUCUUCACCUUCAUAGAUUUCUAGUCAUUUUUCUUCGAACGGAAGCUGAUUUUUAUGCUUUGUUCUGUAGGGAAGGCAAUCGAGGAUUGGUAGAGAUAUUGCUGCAACGAGAAGAGAUGGGGAGGCUUUUUUUAAUUACUCUGGAUGGGAAUUUCUAUAGUUGCAAACACUGUAAAACUCAUCUCGCCCUUUCUAAAGACAUAAUUUCAAGGGUAUGUAAUCUUAUUCCUCUAUUCUACAUGCACAUUUGAGUAGCACGAGUUUUUUUUUUUUUUUUUGCGUUUUGUUGAUUGUCUUCUUCACUUGUGUUUGAAGGAGGUUAAUCAGUGAGUACAUAUUUGUUUCGGAUUUUUAUUUAUUGUAAAGUAAAAGGGAAUCGGUGUCUUUAGGAAAAGAACUUCAAUGCUCUUAAAGUUUGAUUUAGGAAAAAGGAACUUAAUGCUUUGGGACCACAUACACGUUUUUAGAAUUUUGAUUCCUUGCUUUUGAAUGAAUGCUCCUUAAUUAGAUAAAUUUUGAUCUCAAAGCCAAUUGACAACUGAAAGAGUAGCCAUUAUCUAUUGAGGUUUACACAUCCUUCCAAUGUGGGAUUCUCAACACGUCUUCUCUCUAGGUUCACCAAGCCAAAUCUUAUUUUUUGGAUUAAUGCUCAUUUGGGCUUUAUGAGGUCUAGGAGUACCAUAUUAGAAAAAUGAAGUUACAUCCCAAAACAAAUUGACGCUAAAAAGAGGAGUAAGACAUGUAUCUUGUAUAGAUUUUGAGGUGUCCUCAUCUUUCUAGAGCUCUCAUACUAAAUUACAUUAUUAUAAAGUUUCAUCUGAUAAAGGGUGGGUGGGAGGACGUAGCUCAUGUUGUUUCAAUGCAGAGUCUUCAACACUUGAAACUUUUAGUUCACAUUUACAAACUAGGACUUGUGAUAAAAUUGUUCUUUGAUUUAAUUCUUAAUCUUGUCUUAGUCUUUUCCUUGUAGUGCUGAAUUUGCUACCUGGGUUGCUCAAUUUCUUUGUUAAUUUUAUUCUGCAUUCAUCGAGAGACUUACCUCCAUCACAUAUUUGCUUGGUAGAUUUAAAUGAUUGGAGUUCUUGUGCAUAUGGUGCCUGAUUUUAUCAUACUUAUCAGAAAUAUCAGAUGUAUGGUUAGUGCUAGUGGAGAUUAAAUUGCAUUUCUGAGUAUUUUUAGUUACAUGGUGAUAAGAAUUUUAGCCUUCUGGAUAUUGAAUAUGUUUGGUUGUUUGUGUACUUCUCUACUUUCACAUGCAAUGGUAUCUCUAUAUGGCUGCUGAGGCGCUUGUAGAACUUGUUUUUACUGUAUAUAACGGUAUGCUCAUUUCCAGCUUUUAGCAUCUGUACCUCUAUGUCAAGCACUAAAUUGUAUCUUCUUUUGAAAAAAGCUUGUUUGUAUGUAUUGUUACUCAAGACUUCCCGAUCUUAUAUUUUAGGACACAUUUUCCUCAAGGAGUAGGAGUUGGAAACUCCCCUUCUUUGUUUGGUCUUUGGAUUUUUUGUUUUUGAAGUAUCGGAUGUUGAAGUUCAUGAGCCUUACAACUAAAAAACAUCAAUUCCAUUUAGCUCUUUACUCUGUGGGACCCUUCUACAUGUACAUUACAGGCUUGCCACCUUUUUUUUUUCUUUUCAAAUCGACAUACAGUACCGAAAAAACACAUGAUAUACUAACAAAAUUCUGCUUUGCUUUUGUUUCAGACUUUCUAUUGCAGGCAUGGAAGGGCUUACUUGUUUAAUAACGUGUGAGUUUACACUAUGGUGUUUUAUUGUAAAUUUUUUAGUUUUACACUUCGUGUGAGUUUACUCUUCCACAUUGUUUUAGGUUUUCUGUAAUUAUCCUUUAAUUUAGGUCUUAUAUUACUUGAUUGGAGCUGUUGCUUGUUUUAGUUGGAAUUUUGGAUUUUCAUGCUCAAAAAGAAAAGCAUAACUUGGGGUUACUGAAGCGUGGGUCUAUAUUCAUUGGAAUCCUAGGCAAGUAUAUAAUGAUCCUAUUUCCAAUUGAAUAACAAAAUGCUUGGCAUUUACGGUAUAAAUUGGGUGCUAGAACUGGAGCAAGAACAUUGAUGUUGCUUUGGGUCAUAUAAUUAUUUUAUGCAUACAUUAUGUUAUCUAACAAAUUCAUGCUUGCCUUGUCCUGUUCUCAUUGAUUCCUUCCCUGUAGGGAAUGGUGUACUGGUCUUUCUUUGUAGUAUUCUAUUACAAAAGUUAACUAACUGCUACCCUGCAUGCUAUAACCUAAUUAACAAGUAGUAUUUCAUUGUCUACUGUAAAAGCUCGAUCUGCAGAACGAGAAAAAUGAUGUUGGUAUCUAACUGCUUCACCCAUGAUAUUUUGUUUCCGAACUCUUGUGGAUGGUGCUCACAUAGAAAUUAAAUUGUGAUUCCUACAGCCUCUAUUUCAUAGGUGGCCUUAAAUUGUUUCUUACAUGAUAUUGUCAUGUCACUCAUAAUCAUUAAACCUUCAGCUAACAUUUUUCAUUUCCAUAAUGCAUGGCAGUGUCAAUGUCACAGUUGGAGAACAAGAAGAACGGAUGAUGAUCACAGGAUUGCACACCGUUGUUGACAUAUUUUGUGUUGGUUGUGGUUCAAUUAUUGGCUGGAAAUAUGUAAGAUCUAAUGUUAUUUUUUGCUUUUCUUUUUCCUCUUGAUUGUCAAACAUUUUCCUGAUACCUUUCUAUCUAUUCCACAGGAGGUUGCGUAUGACAAAUCACAAAAGUAUAAGGAAGGAAAAUACAUCCUUGAAAUGUGAGGCCACUAUCCUUUGUUUUUUCUUUUAUUACAUUGAUUGCGUUCUUGAUGUCUCUCCACUAUAAAGUUUGAUCGUAAGCUGGAUAUAAACAUAAGAAAGAAAUUAUCUUGGUCAAAUAUCAAUUUUUAGUACCGUUAAGAAAUCAAUGAUUAAAGAUAUAGAAAAUCUAAACAAUAGAGAAUUAACAAAGACUAAUAUGGUUUACUAACUGUGUGUUAACUACGUCUUCGAAUGUGGAGAGAACACGUUAGUGUUUUGUCUUCGAAUGGGAGAGAACAUGUUAGUGUUUUAGAGAAAAGAUCAGAUUACAUAGCCUAGAGUGCCCUCUAGCUAGAGAGUUUAUAUAGCUCACUCUAAACCACAGGGACAAAAAUCGGAAAAAAUAGAAAUAUGAUGAAUAUGGAUACAAAUUCAAGGCAUUACAACAAGUGCACAUUAUGAUCCAUCAAUAUUUCUGUAAACUAUUUGAAGAUUUCACAAUUAUAUCAACCCAAAAACGGUUCUUGAUUUCUUGUUGGCGUUUGGAAAAAUCUUUACAGGUUCAAGGUGUUGGCUCCCGAUGGAACUGGGUACUUGGCAAGUCAUGAUCCACAGCUUGUAGGGAGUGAUGGCGAUGGCGACGAUGCCUGAUCUGCUAUCGAGUUCGAAAGUAAAUAAAAUCAUUACCUUCUGUAAAUUCUUCUCUCAGCCUAUUUUUCUUUGUUUUAUCUUUUUGCCAUUUAGCUCUUUCUUAAGCUUUUUGGUACACUGCCCCUGCAGUUUUGGCUGGUACAACCUCAAUCAUUUUUUCGUUCUUUUUCCAGUUCAUUUUGACUUUUUAAUUGAAAUCAACAGAAUCAGUUUUUAGGAUGUUGGAAUGACCAAAUGGAUUAGUUCUUUUCUAAUUCAACUUUACAGAUUUUGUCUCUCUUCAUUUUUAAUCUGCAGUUGUAAUCAUCUCAUCCCUCUAUUCAAAUUUUGGGACUAUCACUGUUUUCAUUUCAAUAUUGUCUAUAGAGAUCUUUUGUUGUUCGAAACUUUUUAUUUCACCAUAAAUACUGACCUUUUUGAAAAUUUGAAGUGAAAUUCUGACCAUAGUCUUUGAGUGUGAAUUAAUAAAAUUCCGAACAAAUUGCAAAAACCAUCCUACAACUGUGAUGGUAGUUAUAGUUUAUAGUUAAAAUUGAGUUCUUAAAUCCUAUAAAUAAAUUUUAAAACACUUGUGUAACUUUGAAGAUUAAAAAUGUCAUGUGAAAAAUUUGAGUGAAAAGGAACAAUACAAAAACGCUAAGCCAUUACUCCAAUCUUUUACCAUCUAAUUGUUGAACUUUAAACUUGAAAAGAAAAGAAUAAAAUAUCAUAGCCAAAAGGUUGGAAAUAUAUAGGAUUUGAAAAAUAUUUGAACAUGUAAAAAUACACAUCAACUUGAUCGUAAGCUGAAUAUAAACAUAAGAAAGAAAUUAUCUUGGUCAAAUAUCAAUAUUUAUUUAGUACCGUUAAGAAAUCAAUGAUUAAAGAUAUAGAAAAUCUAAACAAUAGACAAUUAACAAAGACUAAUAUAGUUUAUUAACUAUGUGUUAACUACGUCUUCGAAUGUGGAGAGAACAUGUUAGUGUUUUAGAGAAAAGAUUAGAUUACAAAUAUACGCGGAUCUUCCACACAUAUUUUUAUCAAAAAAUUAUUAUUAUCAUUUAACAAAUUUUAGUAAAAUUAACUAUGAAGAUUGAUUGAAAUUAUAUGAACUAAAGAGAUUUUUUAAAAAUAAAUAAAAAAUUUAUUAUAGUUGAUAUUUCGUAACAAUUUUUUUAUUAAGAACAAAAUGAUUAGAGUAUGAUUGGGUUUCAAACUUGAAACAAUUUCCCGAAAUAUAUUUAAAAAUGGAAUCUAAAAACUAUUCUAUAUAUAUAAAUAAAUUAGAGAGUUGAGGUGGGCAAUGAUUCAAACUUAAAACUUCCAUAAUUCAGGAGUAGGGUCCAUGAAGUGGUGAAUGAAGAAGGAAAGACGCAAACACCCAAUUUGAAUAAAAUCACACCAUUCACGAGGCCCUCAUUCAUUACACAAAAUACCCACCCUCCGAUCACCCUCUUUCCUUCAUCCCGAGGAAUCCAACAGCCCACGUUUAAAUCUGACCAUCCCCCCCCCUCCCAACUUUGAAUUCCUUCUCUCAUCUUUCAAUCUCUCUUUCUUUUCAUUUAUUUCUCUCUCUCUCUCUCAAAAUAAUAAUAUUUUUCUUUUUUUUUAUUAAAAAAGUUCUUAAUAGUUUCUAUUCAAACGUAUAUUUAUUUAUGAUGACAUACGUAAUAACACAAAUAGUAUGGAGAGAGAUGUCACUUUUCAAAUAGGGAAAUGAAUCUAAACAACUACAACUCUACAAGGUUGUUGUGUGGUAAAUUUGAUUAACCUUUUUACUAUAUUUUGAGUAAAAAAAAUAGAUUUUGAAAUGCUUACUGGAUUAACUUCCAUAAAAAGUUGAGCUUCGUCAAAAGGAAAUUGACCAUUUUAUGGGGAUUUUGUGACACUUAUUUAGAAAUUUUGAGAAAAUGGAACAAAGUGUAUUUCAAAGAUAAUUCAGUAUUUCUAUUUUCAACCUUUACACUUAUACCCUCCUAAAAUAAAUUAAAAUAUCAUUUAUAUUUUGUUACUAUAUUUUAAACUUCAUUUAAUUUUAGCUAUUAUAUGACAAAUUUUUAAAGCAUAUUAUAUUUAAUUAUUGCAAAAAGAUUAUUAAUUAUUAUUUAAUUAAAUUCACACAAAAACUAAAUUUAAGAUAUAAAAGUAGUAAAAAAAUAUUUAAGAUAUAAUGUAAGGGUAUGGACUAAACUUAGACGGUUAUAGUGACUAAGUUUAAUAAACUUAAGGUAUAAAGACUAAAAUGACACUUUAACUCAACAAAUGAGGAGAAUAAAAUUUAGAAUGUUGUCCACGGAAAUGUUAAUGUUUCAAUUUUACAUAAAAUGUUCAUAAAAAUAUUGAUAAAAAUUGAUAUCAAUUAUUAUUUUUAGAAAAGCUAAAGUAUCUUCAACUCAUUUCUUUAUCAUCUAAUGUGAGAGGAAAUGAACUCUAACGAUUCUGUCAAUUAGGUUCCUUGGUUGGCUCGAUCUCUUCCUCUUGGUUCGAGAAUUGAUCAUUCUUUCUCUCUUUUACAAAAUUGGGAAGUCCCUUUUAAUUAAUUUGGCCUCCCCUUCCUUAAAAAUCCAAAGGUCAUCCUCGACCAAAUAAACCUAUUAUGUUUCAACUUUGUUUGUUUUUUCACGUUAUUCCUUAAUUUUUUGCUUCACCCUCUUCAAUUUGUGCCUCCAAAAGUUUUAUUAUUUGGUUAUGGGUUACUUGGUCUAAUUCUUCCACUCCUUUUUCCAAAGCUUCGAUCAUCUCCUUAGGAAAACCUUCAUGUGGUUGUAGUCGAGGAGGCACUUUAUCUCGUAUAUAUCCUUCAUGAGUGACCAUCUUGGUUAAAGUCAUCUUUGUCUCGACUAGUACUUGUCAUUCUUCUGCUCAUCCUUAAAAAAUUCGACUGAAAACUUUGUGCAUAAUUUUUUUUCCUCCUCACAUAUGGCAUCAAUUGUUGAUUCCAAAAUAUGGGUAAGGAAAAAUACACUUGGCUACGUAAGAGACAAUAACAAAAAGUUUAUAAUCUAGGGAUUAUGUGAUAUGUAAGAUACAGAUUUGUAAACCAAUGUGAUACUUGCCAUACAUGCUUCGAUACUUAGGUCAAAAAGUGUAAGUAUGUAGCAAGUGGAGAGUUAAAGAUCAAAUAAGACAUUUUUCCCUGGUUGAGCUAUGGUGACAUAUUUAUAUGUGUAGUUGACCUAGACCUUUCCUCUUAGGUUUUGGAGUUGCAUUGAGAAUUUUCUUUUACUAGACUAGAGCAUAGUUCAUGUGGUAUUUUGUUAAGGUCAAGGUCGUGGUCGAGCAUCUUCUUUUAACAGUAUUUUAGGCCUAAGAUGGUCCCUUGGGUUAACGAAGGCAUGUUUCCAUUAGGCAUCUUAUGAGGUCUCGCAUACGCUAGCGUGGGCUAGUCAACUUCCUUUUUUGAAGACAAAUUUGGAAAUAAGGAGUUACUUUUAGUCCAAAUCAUGUUGUGUUGGUAACAUUGUUGUUUAUGUUUCCUGUGGAUAUUAGGUGUUUUGGUGUAAAAUUUAUAGAAAUAUGAAUGUGGAGAUUGUUAAUAGGGCUCCACAUAGAUGUACCCAACUAAUUCAAAAUCACCUCUUUUAUUUAUUUCCAUUUUAAUAAAAAUUAUAUAUUGUAAACAAAAACAAAAACAAAAAAUAUAAUAUUAUUUUAAAAAAUAAUCUGAACGGCCACAUGGGGACGAAGCCGCGGAGUGCUGAGUUAGUGAGAUACUUCAAAAACUCUGCCAUUCCCCCAAGCAAACACAACUCAACAAGAUUCCCAAAACCACUUCUCAACAAUAUCUCAUCAUUCCAUUCCCAUUUCCCUCAUCCAAUCUCCACUCCAACGUUGCCGCCGGCCACCCAUGGUAAACACUCUCCCUAUCUCUCAUCUCAACUACUUUUGUUUCACCUCUUGACUUUUACUCAGAUCUCUUCGUCUCCUCAAUGUACAAAAGAGGAGCCAAGUUUCUGUGUAGUGUCCAUUUCAGUUUUGACCGGUUUUUCUUUUUGGCUAUUUUUGAUCAAACGCUCAGAUUCGGACUUGAGUUUCGGAGAAAGCAUCGACUGAAUCGUACUGUUAUUAGUUAGAAUCCCUGGAAUGUUCACUAACGACACGGAGGGAGAGGUCGUAAUGUUGCUCGAUAUGCGAACGGUUGAGAAGGAGAUGGAUAAUGACAAUCUACUGCAUCGGAGCUGCUCGGAGGAUCUUGAUCCUAAUUUAGAAACCGUUUCGUUUUCCCUUUCCGGUCAGUCGUUUUUCCUUCCUGCAGUUUUAGAAAUUUUUUCGAAGUUUCUCUUCAACCAGCUUUGUAGGAGAUUUUGAUACGAUUUUUGGCAUUUUCUGAUCCGUAAACUGCAGAAGCUAAUAAUAAUGGUGGAUGUUCACCUGUCUCCAAGAAUGUUGUAUCACCUGUUCCACCGCGGAAGAUCAGAACGGAGGAUUUUUUGGAUUCAGAAAAUGAAAAAUCUGAUUACGACUGGUAAGUAAAUUAAAUUUGCUCCAAUUUCAUGUCUCAGUGAUGAAGUGGAUUUCAUGUUCAAUUUGUUGUAUAUGAAGUUUGUUUCCAAUCUAAGAGUAGCAUUGAUUGGUACAGUAGGGUAGCGUGUUGUUCAUUAACAAAUGCUUUUUUCAAAUUACUUCAAGAAUUCAUGUAGCAUUAGGGAUGUAAACAGUACCUCACUUGAGUUUUCUGGUCCUACAAGAACCUAAAUAAUGCGUCUGGUUCUUGUUUUCUUCUUCUACAUGUGGUUCUAAUACGUCGUCUUUGUCUGCGAGAUUCCCUUUUAUUUAACCCAUUAAAGCGGAAUGAAAUAUUUGAAAAGUCCAAAAGACGACACAUGAAAGUCAUUUUGUUCCUCAACGUUAUCAUUUCCCUUUCUUCUUCUUCUUUUUUUUAUGAAGAAUAAAACAGAGCUCUUUUACCUUUGCCUUUUUUUCACAUAUAUUGUGUACUUCCCUUUAACUUUAUUUAAAGUUUUUCAUGGGAUAAUCGAUUUCUUCAACUGCUUCGUUUUUUAGGAAAAAAAAACCUUGAACGUUUAAAAUAAAGUGAUAUUUGAAUUUCUUUGCUAAUUUCAACAAAAUUAUCAUCAACUCCUUUUUAACUUUAGGUUAGAUAAUUUUGAAUGGGUAAAUGCUCUAAGUGUACUUUUUCAUGUGCAAGGAAACAAUAACUUUCUUCUUUAUAACUAUAUUGAUUUCGUGAUUCGAGAACCCCACCUACCCUAACGCUUGCAAUGGAUUAGAUAAAUAGAUCCCUUCAAUGAUCUCGUUGUAGAUGGGGCCAAUGUUUGGCUAUUAUUGUUGAUAUGGACACAAUUAGUAUAAACUCGGUGUUAAUCCCUUAUUUGAAUUAUAAUACUUUAAGAAUGUUCCUUUGCUGUGAAAUUAACUAUUUAUUGUAAUUAAUCUCUACUGUUUCUCAGGCUCCUCACACCACCUGGCACCCCACUCUUUCCAUCAAUGGAGACAGAAUCACAGAAAAAUACAACCAAUAAAAAUGAUAUGAUGAAUUCUCGUUCCACUGCUCUGAAACCUAGGGUAAGAGCUCUCAACAAAUUGGACAAACCGAAUGAAUAACUCAAAAAUGAAUACUCAUGCGGGCAUAUGGUGAUAGGAAAAUCAGAUUUCACAAUAUUUUCUUUGGGGAUGUCUUGUAGGAUCAAGGCUGUAAAAUUUGCAACCCAAUUUUCUAAUUUACAUUUCAUAUAUCCUUUACUCCUUUUUGGGUUGCAGCUAGUAAACAUCCAGGAAGAGUGCAACUCGGUGAGUAACAUUGCGUCCAAGCAUCCGAAUUUGCAAUCUGGACAACUGAAUUCUUCAUGUGCUUCCAAUAAAAAGCCAUCGUCAAAGGCUUCUUCAGCUACUGCUUCAAGAUCUGCGACACCAACCUCACGCCAAACAUUAACUAAAACUACAAAGCCUUCAAGAUCAGCCACACCAACUUCACGAGUCAACACCAAAGCUUCAGCCCCUCCCGUGAGAUCUUCAACGCCUGCAAAAACUACUGCUCAGUCAUCAACACCAACUGAAAAAUCCGUGACAACUACAAAGCAAACAUCAAGGUCAGCAACACCUAAUCGCUGUCCAUCAAAGCCAACAUGUUCGUCUAUCACAUCACGUCCCAAUGGCCGGUCAUCUUCGACCUCAAAAUCUAAUGCUAGAAGUUCUAGUAAUCCAAGACCUUCAAGGGGGACCUUUCCAUCCAUUAAAACCAGACCUUCAAAACCUUCCGAGGCGCCAAAGUUCACACUUGAUGAAGCUGCAAGUCCAAUGCCCGAAAGGCCGGCUUCAACGACCAAGGGGAGGCCAAUUGUGGCCAGUAGUGCUAAAUCAUCAUCCGGUAGGACUAUGUCUAAUGGGAAAACUAGGCAGAAACCAAACUCUCCUUCGAAGCAAUUUGCCUCAAAUGGAAGCAGUGCAUAUAACAGUGGCAAAGUAUUUCCAUUCAAGCCAAGAAUACGUUGCCCUGAUGAUAAUGAGGUUAGCCCUGUGGUCAUGGGAACAAAGAUGGUGGAAAGGGUAGUGAACAUGAGAAAGCUUGUUCCUCCGAAGCAAGGUGACUACCGCCCGAGCAUUGGUGAUCCGUCCAGCAAGUCCUCUGCUGACAUCCCUGGCUUUGGAAGGACACUUUCAAACAAAUCAUUAGAUAUGGCUUUGAGGCAUAUGGUAUGCAUCCCCUUCUCCUUUCCAUUUCAUUUGAUAUGGUUAAACAUAAUUUUUUCCCACUUAAUUUACAUCCAAAUGAUUUUCUCAAGCUUAAUCAUAGGCAACCAGUUUAACCUAUAGAACAGAUUGUAUUCAAGUAAAGUCGUUAGGCAACCGGUUUUCUCCUAUCUAUCCAAAUGUUCAAUGUAGCAUCGCAGUACUCAAUUAUGACAACUCGUUUCAAAGCUGCAAUCUGUAAUUUGAUGUGAAUUCUUCUUCUUCUACAGGAUAUAACACGAAGCAUUUCAGGUAAAGUACGCCCAGUGAUUACAAAAACUCAGACUUCCUCCAUGAACAAUGGCAGUUCAAGGUCCACAAAAGCUGGGACGACUGGAGUUUCAGACUCUCCCCUUGCUACAAGCAGCAAUGGCAGUUCUGCACCAAGUGCAUGGAGUAAUUCUAUUCGUCUGGAUGAGAGCGAGACUGAAGAUAACGAGCUUUCCACAGAGAUGGUCUCGUCAUAGGAAGCUCCUUUGCAAAACAUUACCAGGUUCUUCCAACUGCUAAUUUUUUGCAGUAUAACUCAUGAAUACAUUCUAAGGAGAGUUGGUAUUAGGGAAGCAAAAACAUUGUAGUUAUGUAUAAUUAGUGUUAUAGUAAUUGUAUGGAUCUUCUACAUGAUUUAAGAGAAGAAAUUGUAUUCUAAUUAAGGAAUUUGAAGAGAUCCUUCUUAUGACAAUGAUAUUGUUUUGCUAUGUUGUAAGGAAUCUCCAUGGUAUGACUUCUUCAAAUGUCCAACCAAUGUUACAUAAUUUUACUUUUGUUAAAAAGAUUGAAUGUACUUUAGUUUUAGUUUGUAAUCAUAAUCAAUUUGAAAUAUUUGUAAAUAUAGCAAUUAGAUUCAAAAUAUUAACAUAUUCGACAAUAUUCUUAAAAAAAUUACAAAUUUAGCAAAAUCUAUAUAUAUUAUAAUUGUUGUUGUUCAGGCUAGACUAAUCUCACUAGCCCUCGAUAAGUGAUCACCAUAAAUUGAAUAUAUGACUUUCUUAGUUAGUUAUUGAAACUGUUCCUUCUUACCACAUAACCAACACAUGAUGGGUUACUAAUUAUGUAUACGAAAACACUAAUUAGAGACUUACAGAAAAACCAAUAGACAGCAAUAUUGAAUCUUUUUAUUAUUUCGAAGAAAAAUUUAUUGACUAAAUUGUUAUCUGAACAAAAAGUUUACCAAGUAAAAUUGUUUUUCACAUUUCUUUUUCUUUUUUAAAUAUCAAACAUUCAGGUACUUUUUGCUUGUUAAAGUUUUUUCCUUUUCUAAAACAGAAUUUAGUUCAAUAUUAAUAAGAUUUAAAAUUUAAAAAACUUUAGUCUCUUUUCUAUUGUUUAAAAAAGAACAAGAAAAUGUUAGUAAAUAAACAUGAUUUCUAAUAUAAAAAAAAUUAAACCCAAAACAAAGACACAUCAAAAUGACUUGUCUCUAUCUCAUAAAUCUUCCAACUUCCAACUUCUACAAUAUUUACAAAUGCACUAAACACUUACUCCAUUGGGUUGUAUAAUCUAUAUCACAAAAUCAUCAUAAAUAUUCACAAAACAACAGAAACUUAAGCAGUCAAAACCAUAAAAUAUCCACCAGAACCAAAGCCCUCAUUAGGACUUUUGUAGCUUUUUUAUGGCUUUACCUACAUAUACUGCUAGAUUUCUCAAGUGAUUUAUUUACUAUUUACUAUAACUUACUAUCAUUAAACAUCAAAAUCCAUGACACAAUAGCUAGUUUCUUUUUUACCUAAACAUCCAAAACAGUGAGUAUAAAAUAUAUAUACCAGCCAAUUUCAGCCAACAGUUCUACCCUCAGAAGUAGCAACAGCAGCAGUUCUUGAAGCUGCCGAACCCGAACCUGCAGCCAGAGUUGCCCCAGCUGCAGAAGAAUCCUUUUUCGAUUCGGCUUUAGGUUCUGCUGGUGGGGGUUUAGGCUUCAUGUGAAGAGGGGUAUUGUGUUUGAGUUUCAGAUGUAUUUGACGCAUUCUCGAGAGAUCGGUUGGCUUCCCGGGCUUCGGACCUUGAAUAACAACAAUAGCAGGCUUCUUUUCCUUGUCUUUCUUUCCCCUUUGUUCAAUGGUUGGUACCUCAUUGGGGAUUAGUUCUGCAAUUGCCUUCCAAUAGUUCUUAUCAGCUUCAGCAUGGAACUUCUCUUGGUUUGCUAGAUAUUGCUGUCAUUUUAAGAUCAAAUUAUGGUAAGAGAGAAAAAUAAUUAGGACUAAGAAAAGGUUAGAAUCCAAUGGUUUUACCUUUUGCUUAAUUUAAUGAGCCUACUUGUUUUCCAAUAAGAAGGAUUCUAACAAAUAUUAGGCUCAAAUGGCCACAUAAAUACAUUUGAUGUGGUAAAACCUCACAACAAUAAUGUUAAUAUCCUGAUUUACUUAAGUCUCUUUGGACCUAGUAGUGAUUUAACUACGAUAUCAGAAAAGCGAAUCUUGAGUUCAAAUAUCUAAUUAUUUAUCCCAUUUGAUAUUGAGAGUCAAAUGAUGAUGGGUCUCAUCAAUCAAAUCAACAUCCAAUUGUGUACGCAUGAGGGAGUGUUGAGAACAUAUCGUAGAGUUUAAAACCUAGGCUAGAUUAUGAAAGAAAUAUUGAAAAACUCUGUCUUUCGUUUACAAAAUGUCCACAUUCUUUUGAAAGUUUAAACAUUAUCCUUGUCCUUUCAUUUGGAGUAGAAAUCUUUAGACUAUUCACUGAAAAUUGGAACUUGGAACGAAGAUCUUAUGACACAAAUACCCCACGUCGUUCCAAAUCACCAACGCACUUAUUUCAGUUUUCAACCUCAACAGAAAAAAAAUCUAAAAGAUUUCUACUCGAAAGAUAGUUUUGAAACAUUUAUGAAAGGUUAAAGAUAAUAUGGCAUCUUGAUUAAAGAUGAUAUGACAAUUUUUAAAAGAGUAAAGUUAUUUUUAAAAACAAAAGACAUAGCUCGACAGUACUUUUUUGCAGUUAGCCUAAAAUCGAAAUCUCAACCACAAGAAAGGUUAGAAUCUAAAGAAGCAGCAUACUUAAUUUCAACAUUCAAUUCAACAACCGUUAAUUGUAGAUUCAGAAGCCAAAUCACUCAACAUUCCACAAAAUCACUUUAGUUCAUGAUUCUUCAUUCUAUGUUUAAAGAAGAUAAAGUGAAGUUUUCAGUUUAUAAUGAAAGAAAUUGAAUGAGUUUAGACAUUCUCACCUUCUCCUUAUCCCUAUUAGUAGCUUUGCUAUGAUCAAGAGCAAGCUUUCGCCUUCUGUAGAAUUCAAUUUUAUACUGAUCAGCCUCAUCAAUUAUCUCUUCCAACAGCUCCAUCUCUCUCUUCUCCUUUUCUUCCAAUCGAAUUGCAUUCAAUCUGCCAUUCACAGCUACGAUUCACGUUAAACCAUUAUAUAAUUAAAUUUAUCAUAACCCAUCAACUCAAGAUUUUAGAUUAAGUGGUAACUUAUUAGAAGAGAACCACGGUAAUACUAAACAUAUGGAUAGUUUAGGUUGACUUUUCAAGUGCUUCAAUUUUUAAGUAUAAAAAAAAGGAGUUUUCAAGCACUUAGAAAGUUGAUUCAAACAAGUCUUAAAAUUUGUUUGAUAGUCAUCUAGUUUUUGGUUUAUAAAAGUUAAACAUAGAAUUGCUACCACCUCUUAGGAGUGUUUCAAAACCAAACCACAAUUUUGAAAAUUGGAAAAGUUGUUUUUAGUUUUUGAAAUUUUACUAAUAAUUCUAGUAUUUAGUUCAGAAAAAUGAAAACCACGGUAAAAAAAAUUCUAAGAAAGUAAGUAUAAUUUUCAGAAUCCAAAAACUAAAAGUCUAAGAUCGAUUUGGUAAUAAUUUCAUUCUUAGAUUUUGAAAAUUAAGCUAAGUUUUUAAAUAGUGAACACUUUUUUAGUGCUCACUAUUUAAAAUACAGCCAAGUUCUUGAAGAAAAAUAGUUUCUUAAAAUCUGUUUUUAUUUUUAGAAUUUGACUAUUUGGAUUCAACUCUUUCAAUUAGACCAAGCAAUUUUCAAAACCAAAAAACCAAAUGAAACGACCCAAAAUGAUUAUCAACCUGAGAGGUAAGCUUUUGACACAAAAGCAGCAAGUAAAAGAGGGUUAGAAUUUCUUGAAUGCACAAAAAUUACGCAUAGUUUCAUCCAUCGGAUGAUCGCAAAAAUUUAAUUCAGUUCAUAAACACAAGGAUUUGAUCAUCUCAGUAAGAGCUAACAACUACCAGAUUUUGAUUCCAAAAAAUCUUAUACCAACAAUCUUACAAUCCCCAAGUAGUUCAACAGUUUUCUCACCUCCGCCACUCUCUCAAAGGAAAUCCUUCCUCCGGUUCCAUCGCCGUCGGCGACGAGAGGAUCGGGCCGUCCGAUUCGCCAAAACCGCCAUCAAAACCCUUCCCGUUCUGCUGCGACGAGAAACUCGAGAAUCCUCCACCCGCCGAGAAAUUAGUAGGCGGAGUCGGCUCAACGCCGUCUCCCUGGUCGUACGGCAGAUUUCCGAAGAUCGGUGAGGAGUCGUCGGCGGACUCGGCUUCGAAAGUUGAAAAGGUUUCAAAUCUUUGAGAAGCGAGGCGAGGUUCGAAUCCGUUGGUGGCAUCGUCGAAGGGAGAAGGAGGCGUUCCGGCGAAGGUUGACAUGGCGUCGGAGUAGUCUGCUUGUUCCUCCGGCGACGGUCAACAGCCGAUUAAUCUUUCCGCGCGAAUGUGUUCUCUGCAGCUUGGCGACCGUUUGCGGUCGUUAUUAUAAGAAAUGGAAAAAAGAGUUUGACGGCGUUAAUCUUCCGCUACAGAUACCUCCAAGUUUAUUUUUUCAUUUUUUUAGUUUAUUUUAAACCAAAUUGUUGAGUGAUGCCAAAUGGUUUGUAUUUUUCUAUAUUAGUUCUCAAAAAUACUACUUUUUUUAUACAUAGGCAUUGAAUUAAAUAGUGGGUGGAAGAAUCGAACAAAGGUAACAAAUACUAUGUCGUUUGAGUUAGUUCAUUUUGUUGAAAUGUCUGCUAUAUUGUUUACGUGUUAAUUUAGAUAUUGAAUGACAUGUUGAUUAUAUGAUUUGAACUUUAACUUUUUAUAUUUUUAAGAAAAAUAAAAAUAAAAUCCAACUUGACGUAGUCAACUAAAAUAGUUAACGGUAAAAUCUAUUAAGCUAGCUUAUUUGUUUUCAUUCCAUUUUUUAUUUUCAAGGUGUUAGUUUAUAAAUAUUAAUUUGUGUUUAUUUUUGUAAAAAAGGUUUUAAAAAUAUUUUCACAAUUUGAACCAAAAAUUGAUAGUGAAAUAAUAGUAAUAGUAUAUUAUUUUGAUAUUUGGGCAUGAAAGUUCAAAUGUGUUUAAACAUGCAUUAGAAAUUAAAGGAAAUUAAGCACAAUUGUUUAACAUAGAAGAGUUGGUUAAGAGAGAUUUAUAUUUAAACUCUACCAACAGAUAGAAAAUUAAGCAAAUAGUACAUAAGAGUUUAUCCCUCUUUUUCUUUUUUAACGUUGUUAUAUACUUAAUUAUUAUUUUUAAAAUUAUCAUCAAUUACAAUUAUCGAAAAAACCCAUGUAAUUUUGGCCUCUUUAAUAUGCACAAAGUCACAAAAGAGAAGGUUAUUCUUUUUGUAUAUUGCUAUUCAAUCUUUCUACGUUGAGAUUUUAAAUAGAUAUGACAAUAUACUCGUACAUACAAAACCAACUUAUUGAUAAAAUAUAUCUAAAACAUUUGUUUACAAAUUAAAGCCUUUCUCACAAAUGAUAAUUUAAUUCUUGAAUUAAUUUUCGUUCAAGGGUGACACUCUCUGUAGUUUUUUCCUCUAGGAGAUAAACAAUAGGUAUCGUAUACAUAUUUUCUCUUCACAUUCUCAUAAUCACUUUGUUGUUUGGGAUUCAAUUCCCACUUAUCUUGAUUAUUCCAUGGAAGUGUUUGUGAGUCACAUUGGUUCCCAAUUUGGCAACCAAGAAUACCAAAGCUUUUGUAAUUUGCUUGAAAUGGAGCUUGUGACCAAUCUACUUUUCUUCCAUUCGAUGCCCAUCCUUCUCCAUUCCAUAUGCUUCCUUGAACCAACAUUCCUUGUGAUGGGUAUCUCCCCCCGAUCGAUGUUAGGUUUUUAAAUACCCUUAUUGGAACUUGGUCUACAAAGAACCUGAAAUAAUUCAGGGAGUAACAACAACACAUGUUAGUGUUUUCGUCGAUAUUUUUAUAUGUGAUUUGUAUAUAUAAGCCGUUAGUAAACUUACACAAUUUGAUGAGAGUUCCAAAGAAUUCCAUAGUUGUGAAAAGCUAGGGUGGGAUCAAACCAUAAGUGAAGUCUUUCCUCUCUUCCUCCAACAUCAUCAGCAAAAACGUUGGUUUGUAAUAUAUAUGAUGGACCAUCUGUUCCUAGAAACUCAAAGUCUAUCUCAUCAUGAACAUUAUCGCUUCCUAUAUCUGAAUGUAACUGCACUCCAACAAUCAUAUCAUUCAUUAGUACUUUUUAAUUAAUAAACAUAUGAACACGUUAAGAAAUGUGAUCUUACAUAGAAUGUAGUAACAACUCCGGGAGAAUGGUUGGAAGGAAGCUUUAUUUGCAUCUCAAAAUAUCCCGAACCAUACUUAAGCAGUGAUUGGAAAGCACCACCUUUGUUUUGUUAAUGCCAUGCCCACCAAAAUAUAACACACACAUUUAAUUCAUUAUACAUUUCCUAUUUAAAUUAAUUAAUUAUUUCCUAUUAACUCAUAUUCAAUUACUUGUUUAUUUAUUUUUUAUUUAAGAAAAAUGAGAUUACUUUAAUAAUUACAAUUAUGCCUAUGUAAAAUAAAAUUAUUUUUAGAGGUGGACAAUAUAUCAAGAGAAGUAGAGAAAAGGAUUUGUUUUGAUCUCACUAACUAAAUGUUAAACAUAAUUUUGAAGAACCCCUAAAAAUUUAGUAUUUUCUCUUGUUUUCUUAAUCUAAUUUGCAUAUUUUUUUAAUAUAAAUGGUCAAUUCUGUGUCCAAUUCUAAAAUUAAAACUAAUUUUUAAUAAUUUUUCUAAUCUACGGUAGAAAGAGUGUUUAUAAGUUUAAUUUUCAAACACGUAGUUUUAGAAUUUAAAUCCUUAUUUUGUUUUGUUUUCUUUAAAAGAUAUUAAAUUACAAAUUUAGUCAGUAUGAUUUGAAGAACUUCUAACGUUAAGUUUAUAGUCUACAGUGACAAAACAUAUACCUAUACUAAUUAUAUUGAUAACAAUAUAAUAUAUCUAUUUUAAGAGAUUUAAUGGAAUUAUAAGAAAAUUUUAAACAUGUAUUAAAACAAAAAUUAAAGAGACCUCCAGCUUGAUCGAGAGUGAGUUGAGCUUCUGUACCACCGUUUAAUCGAAGAACAUGAUCUUGACUAGACGUAACAACGUAAUUCUUAUCAAAAUUAAGGUACUUUUGGCUAACAACAUCCUUCUUCAAACAACUUAUAAACACAAGAACUAGACAAAGAAAGAGGGAGCCCUUCAUAUUUCUUGAUCCUAAUUAAGGUAAUGAGAAAGAUUUGUUUGCUAAUUCAAUUGAAUUUGAAUGCAAUAUCCAAACAUACAAAGUGUACCUAUUUAUAAUACACAAAACAUAUUUAAUGCCCAAGCAGACGUAUUCACGUUUGAUUUUUUCAUUUAUUGUUCACCAUGCCAAAUAAAAUUUUGUGAUUACUUGUUAUAAAUUCAUAAGCAUUUUCUUUUAUCUAUAGGCCAAUCCAAAUGUAUUUUAUAUCAUAAAAAUGAUAAAAACUUUUUAAUGAUAUUCUUUUGAAAAAUGUAUUCGGAUAUAUAAUAGAUUUUAGUUGACGUAAUUUUUUGAAGUAAAACCUAAUCAAUUAAAAUUGUGAAAAAUGAAAUACCCAAUAAACCUUUAUGCAUGAUAUAUAUCACAAUGUUAUUGAUAAAAUUAUACAUGUACGUUUUUAAAUAACAUAUUUAAUCCACUAAUAUAAGGUGAAUUCAAGCUCAACUCGACGUCUAGUCAAAUUUUAAUCAAGUGAGUCAAGCCUAAAAAGUUGAGCAAAUAAGUUUGGUCAUUGAAACUUGGCUUGACUCGGUUUAUAAGCCUAAACAAUAUCUUAAGUUCUUGAGUUUUUACUUUCGUUUAUAAGCUUAUAAAGCCAGGGACAGAUCUAUGUCUCCUCACAUUCUUCGUUUUUGUAUUUUGAUACUAAAUUUGAAAUGUCAGAUUACAAUUUAUAUUAAAUAAUAUUUUAUUUUAACUAAAAUUUGAUUUUGGUGUAGUGGUUGUGGCCCACAAAACCACAAUAGUUUUAUUUCAAAUACCACCCCAAAUGAUUUUCUAAAAGUUUUAUUCUACAUAUCAAUAAUUUUCUUACCCAAAUGCUUUUCUCAAUAUAAUUUGAUUUCUUAGAAGGAAUAAUUUUUAAAAAAAAGAUAAAACCCUACCUUAUUUACUAAUUCUCAUUUAUUAUCUAACAAAUAUUUAGAAAAAAAAAUGCUAGGAUGGUCCAAACUUCAACUCUCAACAAUAUUCUAUAAAAAAAUAUUAUUAUUUCUUUUUACUUUUUACUUUUUGAUGCAAUUUUUAAAUCUACAUAUUUACAUUACAAAAAAUCACGUGGAAAUUGUCGGUCCUUUAUUUCUACAAAUAUAGUUAAUGUAAUUGAAGCAUCAGUAAAAUGUCGAGAUAUUUUUUAAACAAUUUUUAGUAUGUUUAUUACACAGUGUCCGAUGUUCCGUAUACAAAAUUUCUGGAUUUGCCACUGUAUGAAGCCAAUUACUUUUUUUUUUAUAUAAAUUUCAUAUUUAUCAUGAUUGAAUUUUGAUUAUUGUCGGAUGAUUUUUUACUUCUUUUUUUCUUAUUAUUUGUCAUUUACUAUUAUCUUCUUCAUAUUAUUAUUUCUCAUUCUUCAUAUUUUUGCUUAUUGUUGCGAUUUAUUUAUUUCCUCCUCCAAAAUUUCUUCCUUCUUCAUUUCUCAUAUUCUUUCUUUCUUCUUGUUUCAAGAUAUAAAUGAUAUUGGUAUAUGAUCUAAACAAUUGUAUACCAAUAUAUAAACAAUCAGUUGUCUAUUUCAUAUAGAAAGAGAUAAACCACUAUCACUAAUAGAUCGUUUAGACUAGAUACAUGAUCGUUUAUACAAGAUACAUUAUCGUUUUGCCUUGGUACCGAAUCGAUUAGACUUGGUACGAGAUCAUUCAGACUUGCUACGUGAUCGUUUAGACUGAGUACGAUAUCAUUUAAACUAGGUAUAAGAGUAUGGGUACGAGAUUGUUUAGACUAAGUACAAAAUCAUUUUUUGACGCAUGUGUCAUGUGUGACUAAUUAAUCGUGAGGAUAUUUUUUGUUAUUUUAUGUUGUGAAUUUGUAAGAUUUUUUAUUUUUUAAAAUUGUUUUAUACGGUGCAAAUAUUUUUGGAUUUUGUUCUAUUUUUUAAAAAACCACAAAACAAAUUUUAUGAAACAACCUCAUUUAUUUAUAUAUAUAUAUAUAUAUAUAUAUAUAUAUAUAUAUAUAAAAACCACAAACCAGUGCUCGAAAAGAAAAUUGUUUCUUUUUUUUUCCUUUUUUGUUUUUUAAGACAAUUAUCAAAUUUUUCUUAGAUGAACAAUGGCAUCCAAAUACAUUAUAAACUAAUUGUCACACUUCAUUCAAAAGAAAAGAAAAAAAAAACUAAUUGUCACAGCAUUCCAAUAAAUUCAGAGGAAUUCUCGUGUAUAGCAAAAGUUUUGAAACUAUUUAUCAAAUAUAACAAAAGACUUAAUUGAGCUAUAGAUAAUCGAAUAGAUUUGGCUAUAUUUUGUAUAUAGUUUAAGUUUUUAAUAUAUUUGAAAAUGCGAUGUAAAUUUAUUUAUCUCUGGUUAAUGUUUCUUUCAAUCAAAUGUUUUUUAUUUAUCUUAAAAUUAUUGAAAACUGAAAAAUCAAAACCAUGACAUGGAAAAUUUGCAAUUUUGGAAAAUUGUUUCACUAAUUAUUUUAAUUUUUUUGGGGUAAAAAUUAACUUUUAGAUCUUAAAAAUAAUUUAUUAUAAAUAAAUAAUAAUUAUGGUGUAACGCCUACGUAUAAUGUCCAAAUAAGGUCGCCUCAUUUAUUAUGUGUCAAGAAACCAUACAUCCUUAGGAGUCGUUUGGGAUAAAGAUUAUUAAAACUAUAAUAACCACAUCUUACUGUAGUAAAUACUAUUUAAAAGUCUCAAAUUAGCUACCGUAAUUACUAUUUCAAAACUUUCAAUUUGCUACAUUAUUUAUUAUUUGCUAUAGUUUUUAGUAUUUGACAUUCAUCAUUUUUUUUAUUAUUUGUUUUCGUGUUAAUUAUUUCUUUAUCAAACUAAAAUAGUUUACACACCUUAACUCAUAUUUUCAUAAUCCAUACUAAAAUAAUAUAUACAAAAUAAUACAAACUAUUUUAAUCAAACUAUAAUAACUUAAAACAACAAUAACUCACUUCUUAUCUCUAAACAAUUUUUUUGAUGUCUAAGUAAUACCACGUCCUACUUAUCAAAUUGCGUAUAAAGUAACUUUUGGUUGGUUUUCAAGAAUAUAAGUUACAUGAUGGGAAAAAUCAAUAAAGAUGGACCCAUCCAUAAUUCUCCAAUUUCUUUCAAUUUCUUCCUUUAUUUUAUUUCCAUAUUUUAUUUCUCAUUUUUAUUUCUAAUUUUCUAAUUAAUUUUUUAUUAUUAUUAUAUUUAAAAAAUAUAUACUCGUAGUCACAGUUUGGUUCCUCAAUUUUACAAUAGAUUUUAGUUUAUAAACUUUAAUUAAACAAUUUGGUCUCUCUAUAUAUUUUUAUGACAAUUUAGUCCAGUAGAAAUUAGUGUUAAAAUACAAUAAGUUUUUUCUUUUUUUGUCAACAAAAUUAAUUAGAGACUCGACCUUUUUCUACUAUAUAUAUGACAUCAUAAACUAAUAAAAAUUGACCUCUAAUUUUGAUAAUAUUUUUUUUUUGUUUUCGAGACUAAAUUAUUACAAAUUUGAAAUUAGUACGAGGAUACAAAAGAUUAAAUUAUUAGAUACUAAAUUUUAGAGAAAAUUUAUUUACGAAAUCUAAAGUAUAAGGAACUAAAUUGUUAUAAAAUAAUUUUAGGCACUACUACAAAAUUGGCCUUUUGAUGUACAAAUGUUCACAUUAGAUACAGAUGUCAGUUAAGCUAAAUAAAGUUGAACAUAAUAACUAAUUUAAUUUUGAUAAAUUCACCUAUUUCAAUCUAAUUAUAAUUACAUUAGUUAACUUUUAAAAAAUAAUAUUGUACUAUUGAUGCAUAGAAAGUAAUAAUUGGAAAAAAUAGUAAAUAUUUAAGGGUAUUAUUGAUGAAUAUCGUGCUUUCUGAGCCAGUUAACGAGGGUCUAAAUUUUGUGCUUCUUGAAAAAUAGUUUUUUCUUGAUGAUCAAUUUCCAUCAAAAUAUCAUUUUUCUUAACGAGCCUUGUUCAAGAUAUUAUCAUAAACCCUGAACUAUAAAUUUAUUUCUAGAUGGGCAAUACCCAUCAAGAUGUCAUUUUUGUGGAUGAACAUUGCCCAUGAUCUUUUUGGUUUUUGUCCAUCAAGAAACCCUAGACGCAUCAAGAAAAUUCUAAACUCAUCAAGAAAUCCAAAACAAAUAUAUUAAUUUUUUUUAAUGAUGACCUUUGCAAAUCAAGAAAAUUCAUCCAUUUAUGCGUCUCGUCCAUAAAUAAAACCUAAUUAUCUUGAUGAGCAUUGACAGUAAACUAAUAUAUUAUCGUUAGAUGUUUAUUGUCUAUCAAAAAGUAGUUUUUAUUGACGUUUGUAGACCAUCAACAAAACCAAGGGAACUUUACCUAUCAAGAAAAUCAAUAAUCCACAUUUUCUUACUUUUUUUUGUAUUUCUUCAACAAAAUAAGAUGACUUUUUUUUACGGACGUGGCCGUCAAGAUAAACAUUGUAUCGAUGGUCAUUUGUCAUUACCAUCAAGAAAUUAAAAUUUACGUGUGUAAGACCAAAUUUGUAGUAGUGAGGAACCAAAGUAAAGUGUUACUUCAGCAUAGUAUAGAGACCAAAAGUGAUUUUUAAUCUUAUUUUUUUUACAAUAUGUGAAGUAAGAGAUUCAAAUUAUUUUGAGAUUGAUAGUACAAAUAUUAUGUCAAUUUUAUUGAGAAAAUCCUCUCACUUUUACCACAUAGAGUAAAUAGAAAAAUAAUAGAGAAACUAAAAUAAAGCAAUAAUGAUGUACAAGCACAAGAAUUAACAUGAAAAGACUCUCAAUUGAAGAAAAAAAAAUGAAGUACUAGAAAAAUCUGCUAUGUGAAAAAAUUACAUUCUCCUAGAAUGAUUUUUUCUCCAACCUCAAAUGCAAUAACAUACUUUCUCAAACUUUUUCACUAGUUACACCUUCUUUCCGCUCCGAACUUAGUUAAAGAACAAAAUGAAUUUAAGUUAGAAUUCACAUAAUAAUCUUAAAAUAUUUUUAACUAGAUAAGUAAAAAUCAAAGAGUACACGUGCUUGAAACUCAUUCUCAUUUAAAAUUUAAUCGAUGUAAACAAACUAUGCUUCUAAUAUUUUACCAAAAUUUAACGGAUUUAAAUAUGCUUGUUUAACUAAUUUGAUCUCUCUCACCUUCAUGUGGUUUUUAAUUUUAUAUAAAACAGUGUGUCAGUGUGUGAAUGGUUUUAAUCUCACACCAUCGGUUUGGAAACUGUUUUUUACUCAUUCAAAUCACAAGAUCUUGAAAACUUUUAGACUUGAAUUACAUGACCAAACUUGCCCAUUGUCCAAACUACAAUUAUUAAAAUCCCGAAGAUCAAAAUUUAAAAGUAACGAGGCCAAAUGGGUAAUUUAAACUUAAUAUUUACAUUUUGGUUGGUCAUGAAUUUUGUGUUUUUUUCAAACAGCUUUUGCAUGAAAUAAUGUGUGCAAUAAGUUGCUUUACUUCAAAAUAUAUGAAUUAUGCAGCAGAAAAUUGAAUAUAUUUCAAACUUAAAAAGAUUGUUCUUUUCUAUACAUCUUUUAAAGUUUAGGUCAUUUAGUUUUUAAAAUAAAUGUUUGUUUCAUAAUUCAAUUGAUGAUACGAUAGGAUGCUCGUCAAAGUAAACUUGGCGAUUUUUUAUUAUAGAGUUAUGAGGUUUGAUCUCUACCCACCCACCCUCUAUCCUAAUCAUGUAAACAAAUUAUAACCUACAAGCUAUAAUAAAUAACUCACCUUCUCAAACAAUUCUUAGAUGUUGGUUUUUAGAUAAUUAAGCUUAUAAAUAGUUCUUUCAAUUCAUAAGUUUUUAUAUUUUGCAUCUACUCUGUACUAAUGUUUUAAAUCAGUCAAGUUAAGUUUUAUGUGUUUAUUUGAGAGGUAGAAAACACAAUUGAGAACUUGAUAAGUAACUCGGAUAAAAUUUUAAAAAUAAAAUAAGUAUAAAACAAAACCUUAUUUUGUAUGUUUGAAUACCUCUUUGACACCAAUACAAAAGUUCAUAGACUAAGAACACAAAAGGGUCUAAUCUAAUUGAAAGAUUAACACGAACGCGAUAAUCAAGACGUCUCACUAGAGAUUUUGGACUUCCUUUACCAAAGUUGUACAUUAUUAAAAAAAAAAACAAAAAAAGAAAUGUCCAAAAAGUACCUCUAAACUUUGCCAUAUAUUUUGUUGAAAAUUAGAAUAGGAUGAUGGACCUUUCAACAACUAUUUGGAAGGAGAAAAUAGGUUGAAAUAUUAAGUUGUAAAAUAAUGAAGAAUAUUAACCGAAGUUCAAAAAGGUAAUAUUGGAAUGUUUUUACUUUUUUUUUUUUUAGACAACAUAGUAAAAGAAUUAUAGGAUUUAAAAAAAAAAAAUUGAAGGAUAAUAAAAAGAAAAGAAAUAAAAUAGAAAAGAAGAGAAUAGGGGACCGACUGGGUUGGAGAAGGAAGGGGAAGGGUAGUCAUUUUCGUAAUUUCAACAAUUUAGUAACAGCCUAUAAAUACGAGUUGGAUCCAUGGCGCCUAUAAAUACCAACCCGCUACGUUUAUUUCAUUUGUUUGAAACCAAAGGCCUGAGGCCACGAAGAGAGAAAUUUGGGAGAGAGAGAGAGAGAGAGAGAGAGAGAAAGAGUUCGGAAGAGAGACUGGUGGUGGGGCUCUCAGAGAGAGAGAGAGAGAGAGAGACUGACGAGAAGAGUAUUAGGAAGAAGAGAGAAAACAUAGGAGAGAAAGAGAGAAUAAGACUCCAUAUUCAACUCUACUCUAUUCUAUUAAUUUCUCACAUUUUCCCCCAUUUUUCUCUUCUUCUUGUGAUUUCUUUCCACGUUUUUUCCAUAAUUUUUGUUCCUUAUGAGCCGUUUAGGGUUCAAAUCCGUCGUGUUUCACGGCGACGUCCGUCUUGGGGAACUUGACGCUAUUCCGGCCACCGACCAGAAUUUUCAGUUUCCGAACAACGAGAUUAGAAUCCACCGUAUAUCGCCGCCUAGUGAGAGAUGUCCUCCUCUUUCAGUUCUUCAAACAAUUUCUUCAUUUUCUCUCAGGUGUAAGCUACAAUCUUCCCUGCCUGUUGAACAACCGCACUUGAUCCAGCUUCACUACUCUUGUUUCCACGAAUUGAAGGUUUUACUCAUUUUCUUGAUUCUUUUCUUUUCUCUUCAAAUGUUUUCUUUGAGUAAAUGUAUGUGUGUUUGUGCGUGUUUCAUAUGGAUACUGAUUUUCAACGUUGUUAAUUCAUUUAAUUAUGAAAGUUUCACUGUGAAUUUGGUGUGGAGUUGAGUUGAGUUGACGUUUGGAAGUCAGACUGUAUUGUGAAGUUAGUUUUUAAUAAUUUGGAUUCUGAUGUUUUUAUACGAACUUACAGACCGCAAUUGUCUUGGUUGGAGAUGAAGAAAUUCACCUUGUUGCAAUGCCGAGCAAGCAGAAGAACUUUCCGUGUUUUUGGUGUUUUGCGGUGCCUUGUGGCUUAUAUCUAUCCUGUUUAGGAAUGCUAAAUCUCAGGUGUCUUGCUAUUGUUUUUGAUCUAGACGAGACACUUAUUGUGGCGAACACUAUGAAAUCUUUUGAAGAUAGAAUUGAAGCUCUUCGAAUUUGGAUUGCGCGAGAGGCAGAUCCAUUGCGUAUAUCUGGAAUGUCUGCUGAACUCAAACGGUAUGUGGAGGAUCGGUUGUUGUUGAAACAGUAUAUUGAACACGAUACAGUAAAUGACAAUGGGAGGAUUUUUAAGGCUCAACUGGAGGAGGUUCCUCCACUAAAUGGCAACUGCGAGAAAGUAGUUCGUCCUAUAAUUAGAUUGCUGGACAAGAAUCUUGUUCUUACUCGCAUCAAUCCAGAGGUUGCCUCUAAUUCUGAUGCUAUUUAUUUACUGCUGUUGUGCCAAUAAGUUCAUUUAUAAUUAAUAGACCUAAUUAUUAUUUUUGGAUUCAUUUUGGGCAUUUCAUUUAGGUUUACCAAUUUAAUAAGAUAAGGUUAGAACUGAGAAAUUUGAAGUCUGUUACCAUGAAUAAUUCUUGGAAGAAAUCUGAAUAAAGUACACAUCUAACUCAAAUCUCCAUCUGCAGCCUGGUUUCUCUACACUUUUUGUUCUCUUUUGAAUAAGAAAAAUGUUCAUAUACUUUAACCUUAACCAAGGACCAAACUUAACAAACUUAAAUAAUAGGAAUAACAUGAAUUCAUAAUUUUUUCUCAUUGAAUUGUAUGAUGUGCCUACUAACAAACCUGGUUUGAUAUGAGAUUCAUAGAGGUAAUUACUAGGAUGAACCUACUAUUGGCCUAUUGGAAUGACCCAGGGGACUGUUUAUCAUUCUAAAGUCAUUAUUCUCAAUGCAGAUUCGCGAUACCAGUGUUCUUGUGAGGUUACGUCCUGCAUGGGAAGACUUAAGAAGCUAUUUAACUGCUAGGGGUCGCAAGCGAUUUGAAGUUUAUGUAUGUACCAUGGCUGAAAGAGAUUAUGCAUUAGAAAUGUGGAGGCUUCUUGAUCCAGAAGCUCACCUGAUUGCAACAAAGCAGCUUCUUGAACGUGUUGUUUGUGUAAAAUCAGGUAAAAAACCUAAUAAUCCUAUUCUGAAGUGGAAACUAUCAAUUCUAUAGAUUUGUGCCUUGGCACAUACCUACAGGAUAGGAGUCGUAGAUUCACCUGUGUUACCUGAUGGCUGAUACGGACAAUGAAACCCACCUUGUGAACCUGAAAUUUGCAAAUUGUUAGGUGCUUUGAAAUUUAAAUAAUUUUUAGGGACUGUAGGAUCUUUCAUUUAAUAGUAUGUUAAUUGAAAAAUAUGUAUUUUCCUUUUUAUUUGUAGAAAAAGAGAGUAAUCCUGUUGUUUUUCUUACAUUUAUUUCUUGAGAACUUGAAACCGAUACUUAGGUUGGGGGAUUUGGCAGGUUCUAAGAAAUCUUUGCUGAAUGUCUUCCAAUCCGGUUCAUGUCAUCCAAAGAUGGCCAUGGUUAUUGAUGACCGUUCAAAGGUUUGGGAAGACAAAGACCAACCGCGUGUUCAUGUAGUUCCAGCAUUUACUCCUUACUAUGCUCCUCAAGCAGAGGUAUGAAAAUGUUGCCCCAUUUGUAAUAUUAUUUUUAAAUAAAUAAAUAAAGAUCAAGACUAACUGAGUGCUUAAUAAUGUGAUAUUUCUUUUUUUAAAUAAAUAAAUAAAGAUCAAGACUAACUGAGUGCUUAAUAAUGUGAUAUUUCUUUCAAAUAGACAGCAAAUGCAGUCCCUGUCCUCUGUGUGGCAAGAAAUGUUGCAUGCAAUGUCAGGGGUUGUUAUUUCAAGUAAGUGUAACUAGACGUGCCGACUUACCUGCACACAAACACCUGCCUUUAUUGUCUUUGAAAGCUAAUCAUAUGUAUUUUUCCUUGCAGAGAAUAUGAUGAGAGUUUGUUGCGACGGAUUCUGGAAAUUUCUUAUGAAGACGAUGUGGUUGAUCUACCUCCUGCUCCUGAUGUGAGCAGCUAUAUGAUGUCAGAGGUAGGUAUUUGAGAUGAAAAAUAUUCACCUUACCAUUAAAUGAUUGUUGGUGGUCUUUUUAUUAAUUUCUUCACCGAUUAAUUAUUGAUAGGAAGCUGGUUUUGUACCCAAUGAGACUGUGAAUGCUCCAAUUUGUGAAGGAAUGAAUGGGGCUGAAGUGGAAAGGAGACUGAAUCAACCGGUGAGUUUUUCAUACCUGCUGCUAAUGUUUUAUGUUAUCGGAGUAACGAGUAAUAAAGGGCUUUACGUAAAAUUCUUAACAUUCAGGAUGAUAAGCAUGUAAUAGAUAUGGCCAAUAAUCCUACUACAAGCCAAACAGAUGCGAGAGCAGAUACUUCUCAAUUACCAACUCCUCUAAAUCCGAAUAUCACUGGACCAAAAUCUUCAAGAACUUUACUGCCUUCUCAAAGUAUGGCCUCUUAUGUUCUUAUUUUUCCUACCCUUUUAAAAUGAGAAACCAACUUCCAUUUUGUCAUUCUGUUACUUUUUCCAUUAGUUUACUUUUUACUUUUAAUUGUAUAAUUUAUUCUGCAACGGUUAAACAUGAUUUGCUUCUUACAAGAGAAUAGUACUCAUUUGUUUCUUCAUAUUGUAUUGUAUUAGAGCCUGGUUUGCUUGGGGCUCCUGUCAGGCGAGACAUCUCUUCUGAUCAUGACAUGAAGAGAGGACUCCUUGCCAUGAAACCCAGUAUAGAUCUCAGGACUCAGACCUUUGGUGAUCCCCCUAUUCUCUCCAGAAUGUCCCCACAAAUAUCAGCAUCUGGAUUACAGGUGCUAGGAGCUUCAUUAGUGGAUGAGGAUUCCAGUCAAGGACAUCAAAAUCGUCGACCUUCAGGACUUAUUCCAGAAUCUGAUGCUUCGAAAUCUGAUAAACACCGUUCUCAUCAGAACCUUUUUAGCAACAAUUCACAAGGUUUUUCUUUUACAAGUUCUCUUUUUACGGGCUUAUGGUGAAGUGUGACGAUCAUUUUCCCCGAACUUAAAUCUACUUUUUUACCUGACUGAAGCUUUGACAGGAGUUGCUGCUAUAUCUCAAAAUCAUGCAUCUAACAAUAACAAAGAACAUCAAACUGAAGCAGGGAUUGUUUCUAUACCUCCGCCUUCUUUAUACAUUGGAGUUCUACAAGAAAUUGGUCGUAGAUGUAGUUCAAAGGUACAGUGCUAGUUUUUUACUAUGAUUUUAAUUCUCACCACGUGUUUCUCACUUUGCCUAAUUAUGCAGGUCGAGUUUAAAACUGUUGUCAGUACCAGCAAGGAUUUGCAAUUUUCAGUUGAGGUCAGUGAAACUACGCUCUUUGUAGAAAAUUUUCAACUGUACAUGAACUAAAAUGGAAUAGAUUAUUCAUAUUUAGGUUGGUUUUUUGCUGCCUUUUCUGUCGAGUAAACAGAAGAGUAAAUAUUUUAAAGAGCUUUUAGUGUAGGAUUGAUUCCUCACGUUGUUCCAUAUUCUUCCUUUCCAAUGUUUCAUUGGCCUUGAUGUAGAAAGCAGAUAAAAAAACAUAAAAAUAAUCGUUGUGUCUUUUUGUUCGUUGGAAUUAAGAAGCAUCGUCGAACAAUCUAAUUGUGUUAGAAUGUGGCAGAUUUCAUUUUCUCUGCUUGUUCGGUUCAGGUUUUGUUUACUGGUGAGAAGAUUGGUGUUGGAUUGGGUAAGACAAGGAAAGACGCUCAACAACAAGCUGCGGAGAAUGCGCUUCACAAUUUGGCAGGUAAAACUGCAUCCUCUUUUCUAUUCCACUACUUGGAUAUGCUUCUAUUUCAUUCUAUCUUUUUCCUUUUGAUUUUACACUAGACCUUGACGUUAAUUCUUAAACAUGUUGUUUAAUAUCUUCUAUUCUCUAUAUUCAUUUUCCACGGGAAACUCUUAAGAUGACGGUUUAGAGUUUAUGAACAAAUAUUGCUCCAUGGCUAUGGAAUGGAAACUCUUACCUAUGUAUAUGUAUAUAAAUUCUGUAUCUUUAUGGAGUGCAGAUAAGUAUGCUGCACAUAUCAAGCCUCUUAUGGGACCCAUGGAUGCAGAUCUCGACAAGCUUUCUAUUGGCGUUGAAAAUGGAUUCCUAUGGGACACAGCUGCUCCAGCAGUUAACGAGUUGCCGAAGGAAGAAGACGUUUGGCAUAAAGAAAACAGCUCCGAGGUGCGAAUUACUAGUAAUCCAUCAGAUAGAUGAUUUGAUUUUUGUGGUUCAAAAACAUAGGUGAUGCUUGGAUAAAGGGUAUGAAGGAAAGUAAUUUCCAGAUGGGGGUUACUGCUCACAACCUUCCCCCCUUUCUACUUCAUCUCAUUGCACCAACAAAAACCGAAACACUCAAAGGCAAAGUUAGCUGCUUCAUGUUUUCCCAAUGCUGCCUCUUUAUGUGCAGGCCUCUCUGAAAACAUUUUAAAAAGGUAUGAGCUCGGUGGUCAAUCCCCAGUUUCUACCCCUUAUCCAAGUACCUCCCAUGUAGUUGAUUUGAUUUUUGGUCUCUUUUUCCUUAUGUCCACAAGUUUUUAAGAGUAUUUUUCGCUAUUUAAUGAAAUAUAGCUGCACUGAACUUUUUACUUCUAUUCAUUUGUUAGCUUUCAAGUCAAUCUUGUGGAGGACUUGUGUUGAAUAAAAAUUGAAGAGAAUAGAAGCUUAAAACUUAAUUGGUUAUGUCAAAUUAUAUUAUACAUUUUUGUUCCGUAAAAUGCAUCUUUUAAUAUCUUUUUGUGAUUACUGACAAUUGCUUCCAGGGUUGUGAUGAACCCGAGAGUACUAAUUCUGAUUCGACAAAUCAUCAGCAGCCGCAGCAUGUUCAGAAGCGGCAGAGUUCCCCGAGGUAAACACUCUCAAAUUUGUCUUUCCUUCUUUUCUAUUUGGGGUUACUUUUACGCCCUAUCUGUUCACAAUUUGGUUUUUAGCCCACACUCCCUUCACUUGUAAAUCUUUUUGUUUUGCUAUCUACCCUUUUUUAAAAAAAAGAAAGAAAAAAAACUUGAUUUUGAAAACUAAAAAAUAUUUAAAAACUUGCUCUUUUUGGCAUCUGGAUAAAAAAAUCGUCUCUUAUUCUGAAGACAGUUGCAUAGAAACGGGCUUAAUUUUAAAAUGCCAAAAAUAAAAAUAAAGUCAUAUUUGGUAAAAUCUAUUUCUAUCUCUAAAUCUACUAUUUAUUUAUUUCUAAUGUUGUAAAAACCAAGUCAGUUUUGAUAACUAAAAAAAAGGAAACAGUAAUAUUUGGAAUUUGGCUAACCAUUUCAACUUCUACUUAAGAAAUGGAGAGAAUAGGUUUAAUUUUUUUAGUUGAGUCAAAUCUGGUGAGACCAAAUAGAUCCCCCACCCCCACCCCCACUUUUAAUCUCAGUGCAAUAUAAACUUUACGACUUGGUUCUAAUCUUCUGCAUGGUGUUGAACUGAAAACUUGAAAGUUGAAAACUAGGGCCCAUCCUUCACCACUACUUAAUUUUCUUUAAAAUUUCAAAAUGGAAUAAUUAUAUUUGGAAACUAAUAUUGCAAAACUUGUUUAGUUACCAUUUGGCCUCCUUUUGAUAACCCUUCGUUUUUUGUUUUUUAAAAUUGUGUUAUUCUUUUUUGUUUUUUGUUUUUUGUUCUUUUUUCCUUUUUACUAUGGUUUGCUUCUUUUCCUAUUAAACAUUUGAAUGGAAGCUAAACGGUGUUUAUAAUCUUUGUUAUCUAAAACUAUAAAUGAAGCAAAAAGAUGUUGGAAACUUAUAAAAGAUGUAAGCUCAUUUUAAUUUUCUGUUUUUGAAAUUUACAUCUGUUUUCGAUGAACACCUUUGUUAAAAUGAUACUUGGAACUUUUAUUCAAAUUGUAAAGACUGAAUUUCUUAUAUUUUCUUUUCCUUUUUUUCCUUUUUUUCUUUUUUUUUUCUUUUUUUUUUGUCAAUGUGAACUUGGUAUUUAAAAUGUUUAAUUACUCAUUUUUCGUAAUUGGUGUACUAAAUAUUUUUUUUUGGUGAAAACUUAUUUUCUAGGUCUCUUUCGAUAGCAAUUUGACUUUUGAAAAUUAUGCAUAUUUCUUUGCUGUUUUUCUGAAUUCUUAGCUAAAUUUUAAAAAUAAAAACAAGUUUUUAAAUCUAUAAUUUUCUCGAUAUCGUUUUAUUGGUAGAAACUAGUUAACACAACAUUUGCUUACUUUUCAAACACAAAGAAGUGUUACCAAACAAAAUUUUGGUUUACAAAGUAUGGGUAAAGCAUGAACAAAAUUACUGUUUUAGAUUCAAAAUUCAAAAUUUGACUUGGCUUUUAAAACAUGGAUAAUAAGUAGAUAUCAAAGCACGGCAAGGGAUUAGAGGUGGAAGAGAUGUUUUUAGGCCUACAAAAAUUAAAAUAAUGUUUUUUGAAUUUGUUUUUGUUAUUUAAUUUCUACUAACAGCUUAGUUAAUUAAAAUCUUUAAUUAAGUAAGAAGAAACCAUUGUAAACAAAUUAAACAAAGCAAAUCCUACAAAAUUGUAAUGGAGCUUCAGUUACCCAAUUUUCCAAACAAAGAAACAUAAUUAAUUGUAUUUUAAAAAAAUUCUGUUUUUCCUGAAUUCUCAGAUUAGAAAUAAAAAUAAAGGGCUUGCAAAUGAGUGCACAUAUAUACACACAUAUAUACUCGUAUAAGUAUGGGGUAAUACUGAUACUUCAUCACAAAAUUGAUAUAUACUCGUAUAAGUAUGGGGUAAUACUGAUACUUCAUCACAAAAUUGUGUUUAAUGAGUUUUUGUGAUAACGUGAAUAUUUUGUUUUUUUCUUUAUUAUUCUUAAAAAAAACCAUAUAUAUGUUUGUGUGUGUGUGUAUAUAUAUAUAUUAAAGAAAAAAGAAGCAGAAUCCUAUAUUAACAUUACUGGAAGAAUAAAGAAUAUUAUCUAUUCAAAUCAGAUGGUUUUUUGGUGCUAUAGAUUUUUAUAGUAUUAUCUUCUUACCAAAUAUAUAAACAAUAGUGAAUAUAUUUUAUUUGUUUCAGACCAUUUCCAAGUAAACGUUCAAAGGAAGAUCAACCACAUGGUCCUCAACAUCAUCAUCAUCAGCUUCCACCUUCACGCCAACAAAAAAAUGGCCAUUCCAAUUCCAUUACUUGAAGACCAACGAUCGAUCAAUCAAUAAAUAAAUAAAUAUCCAUCCCACCAAAAAAAGAAAAAAUGUUAAAAUUUUUGUAACCCAGCCCUUCAACUUGGCCUCAUUUCAUGGAACAAAAAAGCUUCUUCUUGCCUCCCUAAGGGCCUUGAGGUGAAGAACAAAAACCCUCUUCCUUUAUUCUUUUCCUUUUUCUUUCUUCUUGAGAAAUACGGGCUGUAAAUUUUUUGUUCCUUUUCUUUUCUUCCCAUUUUGGGCCUCCUCAGUCCUAUUUCUUACUGGCUUCCCUUAAAAUCACUAUGUUGGCCGUUAGUGUGGCUGUACCCUUCUCUCUUAGAAAUACUACAAUUUCAAUCAUUGUGUCAUUACUCAAGUGAUGAAAAUUAGUCUUUUUUACCUUUUGUUUCUCUAUUUGUGUUUACUAUUUUGUAUAUAAAUUUGUUUCUGUUAAUAAUAUAGUUCAUUUUAGUUAGAAAGAAAAUGCUUCGGAUUUUACUCAAAAUCUUUGAUAUAGAUAUCAUACUCGACUAAGGGAGAAAAAACGUCACUUUCUGAAAGCAAAAAUUUGUAAGAUACAUUAAAGCCAUUAUUAUUCUGAUUAUAACAUGCAAAUAAGACUGAGCAAUUGGACGAUAUUAUAAUCCAAUGAAACAAAGUGAGUUUAAAAAUGUGAGUCUAACUGCCAAAAUUGGACGAUGGAUAUCCAAAAUUGAUGGAUGGACAAAGCAGAAGCCACUCCAAAGAUAUGAAUCACCUCGAAAACUGCAAGGCAAGAGACGCCGCAGAGGGAAAAAAAAUCAAGGCUAAAUAGGUAAGGGUGGAGUCAGAAUCGUCAAGGAGGCCCUUAGAUAGAUUAUGCUACGACUGAGGAUUAAUUAUUCAAUCCAAUGUUUUCUUAAUCGCCGUUUCUUUUCUAAAGAAAUUAAAAGGGAGCAAUUCCCUGUCAAUUUCCCAAAAUACAAAAAUGGAAAAUUUUGCAAGAAUGAAGAAAAAAUGGGUUUUCUUGUCUUCGUCCACAUCUCUAGUUGGGACCUCAAAUAUUUUCCUAUGAUAAAUACUUCAAUGCAUCGUGAGACACAUCCACCUCUCCCAUCACAAAUCUUUGUUUUGACUUUUAAGGUUUCUAAUGUGUGAUCAAGUAGGCUCAAAAAAGAUGGUCACACUGGAAUUACUCAAAUGUAGUUUUUUUUUUCCUAUCGCGCUUCUGCAUUUUUGUUAACUCAUCUAAAAGGAUUGUAGUUAACCGUAUAAAUUUUAGUGAACCAAAGAAUUGAUUCAAACAUUUACUUCACAAUCAUAUUGGCUGAUACUAUCAAAGCGAGAGAGACAGAGAGACAGAGAAGAAAAAAAAAGGAACUUGAUUUCCCAACCAAUGAAACAUGAACGAACGAAAAGUAUAGUUUCAGGAAAAACUUGAACCAAAAGCUCAAUCCCGAAUCUAUUAAGACAUAGUUUAGGGUUUAGAUCCAGACGUCAGAGACUCAAACAUCAGUACUCCACCCCACAUGCAAAUGCAAUCAGGGAAUAUGAAGUGAGUAGCAGCAAACUAUGGGUACAGCUAAGAAGAACCAUGUCAAAAUCCACAAAGGAAAAAUAAAGACAGGUACUCGUAUUUUAAAACAGAUUUCCAUUCAACAAACAUAAUUCAUCAGAUUUCAAAUGUUUUAGGAUCGCCUUUUGAUCACCAUUGUAAUACAAAACAACAAUAAUAAUAAUAAAGCCAAAUAAACCCAAUUUCACCUCUUUCCAUUUUAAAUACCCAGAUCGACCAAAAUUAACAUUCAUCAAAGUUGAAUGCACAAUAAGAUAUUAAGGACUAGAUAUAAAACACACCUCUUCUACAGCAAUUCUAUCCAACUUUAGAAUUGUUUACCACAAAUAAGAAUUCUAAGUCGUCUUAACCUGAACCUGACUCUAAAUCGCUUGCUACUCCACAACAAACAAAAUCUAGGUAGUUUCCGAAACGACUUUUUCCUAGUUAACUUGAGUUUGCUAACACUUAUUGUGCUAUUCCCAAGCCCUGUCUUUCUGUCUAUGGAAUAACCAGUUGAUGUGCAAUUAGUUGUGUGAGAUCCAGAAUCAUGUGAGAGUCCAAUCUUGACGGAUGCCCAAGCAUCAAAGAUUUCAACAUCGGAAUCACUGCCCCAUAAUGGAAUUGACUUUAUCAUAGGUGAUCCACUGUACUUACGGAAAUAAGUGGCUAAACUAGUAUGUUGCAUCUCAAAUAAUCUCCUCAGAGAAGUGUUUCCUGCUUUCAUCAAGUCUAGUAAACUACUGCCUCUACAAGAUGAUUUAGAAGAGGAAGACAAAGAAGAAGAAGAAGAAGAAUACACAGAUUUCUGAUACUUGAGUAUUUGUCGGAUUCUUUCCUUUUGGACUUCAGGGUCAAUAAACCUAGGUACGUCUUCUUCCUCCUCAGAUAUCUCUGAUACUGGCAUAGUUAUCUAAAAAGCAGUGGUUGAUAAUACUAGAUGAAUGAGGCAACACACUUUAUCUCUUUCUGUAUAGAGAGACAGUAGAACCUCCAAAAUACACAUUAAAAGCAACAUAGACGGCUGAAAUCAAGUUACGAAAUAUAUUAUUUGUAAGAGCCGGCCAACAGAACUUUGCUUCACCGUUUACUUCUCAUGGUAAACAGUCUAUCCAAGGUCGUAUCUACCCUUUGUUUAUUUUCCUAUUAUGAUUAUGAAGUACAAUAGGCCUCCUAUGGUAACCCUUUAGUUUUUGGUAUUUGGUUUUUGAAAAUUAAGUUUACAAACAAUACUUCCACUUAUAAGUUUCUUUGUUUUUCUAUUCACUUUCUAUAAAUGUUUUCAGAAACUAAAACAAAAUUUGAAAACGAAAGAAGUAGUCUUCAAAAUAUAAUUUUUCUUUCUGGAAUUUCACUAAGAAUUUCAAAUGCUUCUUUGAAAAAUGUGAAAACCAUCCUAUGGAAUUCACGAGAAAACGAUUAUAAAUUUAAAAAAAAAACAAAUAAAGGUGGCCUAAGUAACUUCUUUAAGCCUAUCACAGAGAGAAUUGGAUAAAUCCUCCCAAACUCCUGUCAGAACUUAGUAUACGAACAAGCAACUGACGCUUCCUUACAA
Molecule: long non-coding RNA, 38352 nt
Filed under: Cucumis sativus (cucumber)
Lineage: Eukaryota; Viridiplantae; Streptophyta; Magnoliopsida; Cucurbitales; Cucurbitaceae
Description: long non-coding RNA (CSAT_LNC001597)
Source: RNAcentral